RNAcentral lists this transfer RNA (74 nucleotides) under Treponema sp. J25. It matches the Rfam family "tRNA". Rfam says of the family: Transfer RNA (tRNA) molecules are approximately 80 nucleotides in length. Their secondary structure includes four short double-helical elements and three loops (D, anti-codon, and T loops). Further hydrogen bonds mediate the characteristic L-shaped molecular structure. tRNAs have two regions of fundamental functional importance: the anti-codon, which is responsible for specific mRNA codon recognition, and the 3' end, to which the tRNAs corresponding amino acid is attached (by aminoacyl-tRNA synthetases). tRNAs cope with the degeneracy of the genetic code in two manners: having more than one tRNA (with a specific anti-codon) for a particular amino acid; and 'wobble' base-pairing, i.e. permitting non-standard base-pairing at the 3rd anti-codon position. The record is from Rfam by way of RNAcentral. RNAcentral also lists the same sequence under 4 other names. Lineage: Bacteria; Pseudomonadati; Spirochaetota; Spirochaetia; Treponematales; Treponemataceae.
GCGUUCGUAGCUCAGCUGGAUAGAGCGACGGACUUCGAAUCCGUAGGCCGGGGGUUCGAGUCCCUCCGGACGCA